GCCCAAAUACUAAUUCUAUACACAUUUCACCUAUAAUCAUACUCAAAACAUGGACAUUAAUAUAAAAGUGUUAUUCCGUGAGUCAAAUUAAGUUUCAGGUAAGAACAAUCGACACAGAAAACAAACCACCCCUAGAGGUUUGCAUCAAGUGGUAUCAGAGCCACUUCUUGCUUGCAGGUCUGAGUCAUGUCACGUGGUAAAUCUUUCUUGGUGAGGAAACUUUUGGAAAAUCAUGUUAUGGAAGAUGAGGCCAACCAAAGGGACAACAUCUUUCAUUCUUGAUGUUUGGUCCAAGGUAGAGUAUGAAAGUGCAAAGUGUCAAGAUAUCACUUAGCUUGCCUAUGUUUUGAUGAAGACAAAGGAAUUAGUGAAAGCUUAAAGAUAACUCAACAAAUCAACAUGUCAAAGAAUCAAGAGCUUCAUGUCUAAACUAGAGUCUUAGAUAUGUGUCUUAGUUAUUGAGUCUAGGUUAGAUAAACCUAUAUGCAAAUCUCACAAGUUCUAAAAACUUUCAUAUCCUUUACGAGAGACAUGCCAUCUAGCUUAUUAUAUGUUCAUGCAUUAAUCAUACAUAUUAUUUGCAUAUUUUAGGCAUAACAUAAUGGUAAAAUAUGUAUAGUUGAUAAGCAUAACAUAUAGGUAGUUUACCAUUCAAUAUCUUAACUGAAAAUAUGGUAGUUAAUCGAUUAGGUAAGGCUUUAAUCGAUUAACGUGAAAACAGUUUUAAUCAGUUUCAACAUAUAACUGAAAAACAGAAUUCAGUUAUUCUAAACAGCGCGUUAAUCGUUUAACAAGGCACUUAAUCGAUUAACUAGGAAUAAAACAACUUUUCUAUAUAAAUUGUGUUUUUACACCAUGCUUCAUACAUUCAUUCGUUCAUUUUUAGAAUUGCUAAGUUGCAUAUUUUCGUGCUCAUUGUAUGUCAUAUAGGCAGAGAGAAUUGCAUGUGAGAAUAGUUAGAGAUAGUAUCAUGCUUAGGGAUUAAAAUGUCAUCCAUUGCAUGUGAUUAAAUAUGUUCAUCAUUCUAUCUUAUCUUGCAUGAUUCUUUCAUUUCUUUUCGAAAUUUCUUAGGUUAGAAAUUACACGUUCUUCAUUAUUUUGAUCUUAUACAUAUUCAUAAUAAUUUGUGAGAUUUGUAUAGGGUGUAUAGUUUGUUCUUAAUUUUAAUAUUUGAUUUAUUUUAUGCUUCACAUUACUCUGUUUUUGUUGUAUUUUUGUAACAAGGAAAGUUGUCUCUCUCAAGAUCGGAAGCAGAGGACUGAAUGCAGUUUUGCAAUGGACCGCAAAAUGAACUAGUAUAUAAACCUUGUUACAGGUUGUUUCUUACCCUUAUCUCUUUAUUGUUUUAAAUUGUUUUUAAUUGCCUAUUGUAGCUAAUAAUUUGAAUAUAAUAACUCUGUCAUAUAAAGAUCAUUUAUGUUCAAAUAUAUUUGUUAUAUCAUUUCUGUAUAAUCUGUGAUUGGUUGUGUGAUCGAGCCAUUCAGCAACUGUAUGUUAAGUGCGAUUUAAUCGAUUAAGGCAAUCCUUUAAUCGAUUAACUAGGUGAUUUUCCAGAAUAGGGCUUUGCUGCGAAUAGCGGUAUUUGGGAACCGCGACACCUAUUCACCCCCCUUUUAGGUGUAUUCUAUCACUGAUACCUAAUAAGUAGUAUCAGAGCUAGUACGUUUUGCUAGCUCAACCGUAUACGCGUGAUCCUUGAGGUAAAAUAACUAGGUUCCACCAACGCCUUUGGCGGUGAUGGUACAUCCAUUAACCGUCCUCCCGUAUUCAGUGGCGAAGAAUAUGCCUACUGGAAAGUCCGCAUGAAAAUAUUUAUAGAGGCCAUCGACUCGGAUAUUUGGGAAUCCAUAGUCAGCAGGCCCUUUGUUCCACAACAUUUAGUGGACGAUGAACCGAAAGAAAAACCGAAAAGUCUAUGGACCGAUGAUGAACGUAAAAAGGUUCAAUAUAACCUACGCGCUAAAAACAUAAUCACAUAAGCGCUAUCCUAUGAUGAGUUCUUUCUGAUUUCGCAGUGCCAAAAUGUCAAAAAAAUGUGGGACACUUUACAAGUGACUCACGAAGGCACUAGCGAAGUCAAGCGUAUCAGGCUCAAUGCCCUGACACAUGAGUAUGAGCUAUUUCGUAUGUUACCGAGUGAAUCUAUUAGUGACAUGCAAAAAUGAUUCACUCGUAUAGUUAACCAUUUAGUUGCUCUAGAUAAAUAUUUUACCAAUAGAGAACUUACUAACAAAGUUUUACACUGUCUUAACAGGAGAUGGCACCCCAAAGUAACAACUAUCAUGGAAUCCAAGGAUCUUGACUCCAUUACUUUGGUGAUAUUGUUUGGAAAGCUUCAAGAGCACAGGAUGGAGCUUGGACACCUGACUAUGCACGAAGAAUCAGAUCGCAAAAAGAAAAGUAUAUCUCUCAAAGCAACAACGUCUCAAUCCAUGGAAGAGAGAAAAGAAGACGAGUCUGAUUCAGAUAUGGAUUAUGAAACUUUGAGCCUUCUCGUACACAAAUUUGGGAAAUUCCUAAAGAAAGGAGGCUUCAAACGUUUCUAGAAGAAAGAAGCGCGCGAGUCAACCAGGAAAGGCAAGGGUAACAAAGAGCGCUUCACUUGCCAUGAAUGUGGUAAGCCAGGACACAUUAGGUUUCAAUGUCCUACUUACCUCAAGAAGGUUGAUUCAGAUAAGAGCACUCCUCGAGACUUCAAGUCAGAGAAAGCCUAUAUAGUAUGGGAUGUACCAGAGGAGGACACGACAUCGAGCACCUCAUAUGCGACACUAUAUUGUUAAAUAAUUUAAAUAUAUAGUGAGGUUAUGGUUCGAGUUGCCUCUAACUUCUUCGAAAAUGAGAAGAAGGUCUACAACCAACACCAUCUCUAAACUAUUAAUUCCAUAUAUAGAUAAAUAAUAAGCUAUUUUAUCACUAAACUUAUAUGUAUAAACAAUUAGAAACUAUUCUACCAAAUAAAGUUUAUGAGAUUUUUAUAGUGAGGUUAUGGUUCGAGUAGUCUCUAACUCCCCUAGAAAAAAGGAGAAGGUCUACGACCAACACCGUUUUUAAGCUAUUAGUCUCAUUAAAUGGAAACAAUUACAUAUUAAUCAAUUCAAUAAAUCAAUACUUUCAAACCUAUCAGUAUUUUCUAAAUCACUAACAAUUAACCAAAAUAGCUAAACAACUUUCGAACUAUAACUACGUAGUCUUGAUUUCCCUAUUACACCCGGGGAUACGUAGGAGCAAGAUAACCUCUUGUCAGAUGCAAAUAUGAAAAUAAAAAUAUUCUGUUUUACUAAUUGAAUUUUAAAUGAAUAAUUGUUAAGGGUAAAAAAAUCUGUUUUGAUUAGCGAGGGUACCGUUUUAAUACAGGCGGACAGGGUGCUAAUACCUUCCCCGAUCCGUAAUCGACUCCCGAAUUCAGAAUCUCUAUUCAAAAACCACUUUUAUCCAAAUUGGGCAUAAACGAGAGUUUCUCUACAUUUUAACCGCAAAAAAAUGUAGUGGCGACUCCAAAUCAAUUGGAAGAGGUAGAAGUCGAGUUUCCCUCUCCCUAAGUCGCAGGGCCGGUCUUCCAACCGAAAAUCGGUUCGCGACAAACCUCACCUUUACCCAUUUUGCACCUCAACUCAUCCCAUCUUUUUGUCAAAUCCACAAGAAACCCCUCCCAAUUCCAAACCCUAAGCUUUAGGUUCCCUCUCUUAUCCUUCUUCUCCUCUCAUUACUCACGGUUUUCAAUCAACAAUGGAAAGAAGACGUUCAAAAGGGAAUUGGUAAAAGGCACAAUUAAGAGGAUAUUAGCAAUGAGUCAUAGUUGUUACAAUCAGCCAAAGGGAAUUGGUAAAAGGCAAACCAAGAAUCCCCUCAACAGUUACAAUAUGAGGCAUUAUGAGAAAAGAGUGGCAAUUAAAUCAAUCAUAUGUGGGAUAAUGGGGCAGCCGUGAGUGACACAGCAAAGGCCAAUUACCAUUCCAUUUCAGUUACAAUCAUCAUUGGCAAAUAGGAAACAGCUCAACAGUUAUUACAUGCUCAUAAUCAGUCUUAAACGGCAGUUUCAAAGAGAACAAACAGAAAGCCAAAAGUUUCUGGUAGCAUUGAAUCAUGAUUGGCAACCUGAGAAUCCAUUACCAUGUAAUUUUCAAACCAUUAUAAAAGGGAGAAGCAGGUUAUAACACACACACACGUACAGAGGGAGAGCAUACUGAUAUGAGAUUACACAUACACAGUGAUAGAAAGAGAGGUGAAUACACAACCAUACAAAAACUAGAGAACAGUCCAUACACAGCUGUUAUAGAGACAUCACAUAAGUCUAAGAAUACCUACACUUGCAACACGCAUAUCAUUAUCAAAGAGUGAUAUAUCACACCCAUAAAUCAACAAUCAGACAACAGACCGCACAAUUAUCAAAAAGAGGACGCAUUCAGAACACACAUCACAACACAGAGAGGGAGGGAAUAUCCAAAAUUUGCAUAUCUUACACAACACAGAUAACAACUGAGCAAAGGCAACAUAUACAUAUUCACAGACCAUCAUAUACAUCAAGGAAGAGGCUCAAAAAAGGGUAGCAGGACCAAAACGAAAAAACAUUCUACAUUACAGGUUCAUCAUUCUCUUUAAUAGGUAUUAUUGAUUUCAUUUUGUGUAUCCCAUCCAUAUAAACCUGUAAUCAUAAGAUAAACUCAGCGCUUUGCUGAAAACUGGCUAACAUAUCAAAUUCAAACAUAAAAUACAUCCUUAUAUUCACUCGGCUUCAACAGGGAUAUAUAUCCAUAAAUAUGAAAGAGAUGAUGUAGCAUGAUAAUAUAGCUCAUUUCCGGAUAAAUGUAUGCCGAAAUUAGUUACACGUAAUCAUCCAAUUUCAUGUCAAAAGGAUUAAAUAGAAAAGGAGUAAGGUUUAUUACCGAGACCCUUUGUAUUUAUGCCGAUUCUGAAUCCCUACCUUACUUCGGUGACCACCGUGAGAACGAGAGAAUCGUAAGAGAAUGAUAAAUGAAGGAGAAGAGAAAAGGGGAUUUAGGGAUUCCAACCCCCUUUACCGUUAACAAACGAAGAAGAACUCGCGAGGAGGAGAGGAUGCAUAACCCGCCACCACCUCUUUUGGAAGCUGAAGCCGUCGCCAUUGGAGAAGGAGAAUCCACCACCAUCGCCGUCGAAGGAGUGAAGAAGAAGGGAGGCUAUGGAUUGAAAUUCCCUUUUUGUUUUUUUCUCCAAUUUAGGGUCAAGAAACCCGUAUGGUGUUAAUCCCCUCGUCCUUCCUUAUUUCAUUUUUUCUCAUACACCUUUGUUUUUUUAGUUAAUUGUUUG
Molecule: long non-coding RNA, 5286 nt
Filed under: Lupinus angustifolius (narrow-leaved blue lupine)
Lineage: Eukaryota; Viridiplantae; Streptophyta; Magnoliopsida; Fabales; Fabaceae
Description: long non-coding RNA (LANG_LNC002983)
Source: RNAcentral